CCGCCCGUCACACCAUGGGAGUCAGUUGCUCUAGAAGUCGGUCGCGCCAACCUCGUGAGGCACGCCGCCUAAAGAGUGACUGGUGACUGGGGUG
RNAcentral lists this ribosomal RNA (94 nucleotides) under uncultured bacterium. Its description in RNAcentral is "partial 16S ribosomal RNA". The record is from RNAcentral.